This 465-nucleotide ribosomal RNA is filed under the name uncultured bacterium. Its description in RNAcentral is "partial 16S ribosomal RNA". It matches the Rfam family "Bacterial small subunit ribosomal RNA", at positions 28 to 507 of the family's 1533-position model. The record is from RNAcentral.
GACGAACGCUGGCGGCGUGCUUAACACAUGCAAGUCGAACGGUAAGGCCCCUUCGGGGGUACCCGAGUGGCGAACGGGUGAGUAACACGUGAGCAACCUGCCCUUGACUCUGGAAUAACAGUUGGAAACAGCUGCUAAUACUGGAUAUUCAUCUUCUCCUUCCUGGGGGGUGGUGGAAAGCUCCGGCGGUCAGGGAUGGGCUCGCGGCCUAUCAGCUUGUUGGUGUGGUAAUGGCUCGCCAAGGCUUCGACGGGUAGCCGGCCUGAGAGGGCGACCGGCCACACUGGGACUGAGAUACGGCCCAGACUCCUACGGGAGGCAGCAGUGGGGAAUAUUGCACAAUGGGCGCAAGCCUGAUGCAGCAACGCCGCGUGCGGGAUGACGGCCUUCGGGUUGUAAACCGCUUUCAGUAGGGACGAAGGGUGACUGACGGUACCUACAGAAGAAGGACCGGCUAACUACGUG